GUUUUCUCUCUCUCUUUUAUUAUAUCUUCGUCAUUUCUCACUUGUAGAUUUUCCGAUAUCAAUGGCCGCGGCGGCGCAGAUUUCUUCAUCUCUCUACUACCAGCGGAAUUUCCGCCUUGACUACAGCGAAAACUUCUCGUUUCACGCGCAAAUUAUGGACGGCGUUCGCGUUUGCUGCUGGAUCUUCUCUCUUGAUUGACAAUCAAUUUUACCAGAAACUGCGCAUGGACUUGGAAAUCAGUUGCAGAGCAGGAAGCAAAGCAAUGGUGUAGAUGCCUGGAAAAUGGCAAUGGUUGGCUUUGCUUCCGAUUUCGUAAUGGGAAAAGGACUCCUCGAGAAUUUUGCCAACAGUGGUGGCUAUCACAGUUUUGGUGGGAGUUCUUAAAGCAAUCUCCAUCUUCCAAUGUGCAUCAGAGAGUUAAUCAGGUUUGUCUAUUCUUCUCUUCUGAGCUCCAUUCCUGAAAAUGAUACAAUGUGAUGCCUAAUUUAUAUUGCAUUAAUAUUUCAUUUGAGAGUAUUAUAACUAGUUAAUCUGAUGGAUGUUGUGAAUCCUCUGUUUAAUUCUCAUAACACACAUUCUAAAAAUAUAUAAUGUGUCUCAGCCACACAAAAAAGGAAAAAACAGGAGAUACCCUUCAUUUUCCAUAUAGUAGAGACAAUCAAUAAGUCUAUACCUAUUCUCCCCUCCCAAAAAAGCAGUAUCUGAUCCCUCCCCCAUCCCAUGCCUGUUAUGACCACCAUGGGAUACACCAGGGUGGCCUCGGCUGCAGCAUUGGUUGUGGUGGUGAUGAUCCUCUGCUCGGAGAUCCCGGGGGCUGGGGCAACCAUGUUCCCGGAGGUGGAAAUAACGCUGGCUAACGAUGGGGAGAGCCCGGUGUGGUUCAUGUGCCAGAUGACGCAGAAGGGGGACUCCCUGUACGAGCUGCCCCCAAACAGCACGUACCGGUUCAGCUUCACGCACGUGGCCUUCCCGAUGCGGUGGUGCUACAUGUACAUCCACCCGGGCAGCCAGGGCUUCUUCUGGGUGUACACGGUGCGAUCCAGAUGCACCAAGUGCUUCUGGAGCAUCGACAAGCACCCUUCUCUCUACCGCAACGACAUCGGCAGGUGGGAGAGGCAGAAGCUCUUUAUGCCGCCAUCUUUCAAUAUCUCCAAUUUCUUACUUAAUGAUACUCAAUCUGCGAGAUAAGAUAUAUAAUCAAUAUGCACAUCUCUCUGCUUUUUUUUUAUUGUCGUGUGAUUGGUUUUGUAUCUUUCUAUCAUUUGUCGUAUAUUGAUUUCAUUUUGUUUGUUUUUGUUAGUAUUUAUUAAUAAUUUCAUUAAACAACUAAAAAUACAUAACUAACCUAAUUAGAAAUCUUAAAUUUUACAUAACUAAAAACCAAAAUAAAACAAUGAAAAGUACAUAAUUUACAUUGAAAAUAUAAUUAUAGAUACAUGAUUUAAAUGAAAAAUGCAUGAUUAAAAUAUAGAAAUUUUGAAAAAGUGCAAUUUAAAAAAUAAUCUAUCCAUCAUUUUUUUUUAUCAAAGCAACAUAUUUAUUCUUUCUCCGAAUGACCCGGCCACCUUGAUGAAGGAGGAUGGUGUGGCAGUUUGCUACCAAAUGUGGACUGAGAAUUUCAGGCAACCUGAUAAAACUGCUACUAACUUGACUAAUCAAUUGAGAAGGUUUGAGAAGGUUUGUAAUUAUAAAUUUUGGUUAAAAUUAGGAUUUAGGAGUACUAUAUAUGCGAUGAAAAAUUAAUCAAUUUUUUUAUGGAUAAUCCUAAUUUAAAUUGUGCUUAGUUUUUUUUUUGGGUUGAGAGAUGAACGAAUUUGCGUUCAUAUUUUAGUAUAGAAUAUAAUUUAAGUUCGUUGAACUAAUCGUAUUGAUCCACUUCGAAAUAUUUGUAAUUGAAAAAUUCAAAAUCACAACAAAAUUAAGUGCGCUUAAUUUAUUUGUAUUUAGCACAAUAUAGUCAAUCUAGAACUACAUACUAACGCCAACAAUGACCAAGUUCCUGUAAAAAAGAUUAAUAUUUCACUUUUCAUGAUAUAAAGUAAAUAUUUGAAGUUAUUGGACAAAAUAGUUUUUUAUAGCUAGGUGAUCUUUGCAUGCAUACAGUGAAGUUUCUCUACGUAUAUAAAAUUAGCACCAAAAAUUCAUUAAAUGCUUCCAAUCUUGAUGACAUAAUCAAAAAUCUAAAACACUAUCACCACUCUUGUUCAUACCUAAUUUAGUUUGGAAAUUUGAAGAUUACGUAAAUAUCUUUCCGGAACUUUGCUUAAUACAAACACACUUGCCUUAAUACAAACAUCUUGAAACUUGCCUUAAUUACAUAAACAUAUAUUCCAAAUCUAUCAACUCAAUUUUAUUUUAUUUUGAUCGAGUUUUGUAGUAAAAAUGUUGUAGCUUGGGAGAUUUAUGCAAUUUUGAUCGAGAACCGCCAAUUUUUUCUAGCUAUUCAACAAUUGUUAAAGAAUCAAAAGUAUACUGAAUGGAGAAUUAAUUCAAUAUCAACUUUAAAUGUACUCUUAUGAACAUCACAUGUGUAAAAACCCUAAUUUUGGAGAUGAAUGUAUUCACAUAAUUAGGCUCCCAAAAUGUGAUAAUUCUGAUAAUCAAUUGGAGAAGACAAGAUUAAAAUUCAAUCUUGAUGAUAAAAAAAAAGAGUAUCUGCUGCGAUCACAGAGUCAUCUACAGUGGCGGAUCUAGUUAAGAACAAAGCGGUACGAGUGUACCCCCAAAACUGCCAGCAGCCUAGUGGCAGCAGCCUAGUGGUAAUAUGCUCUUCUGACACAGCAUUCGCCCAGUUGUUGAAGCGAUAAUGGUGGCGCAUAAUUCUUCAAAUUCUCUUCAACCUUUCCCCCAAAAUCCUCCAACGACUUGAUCAAUUGCUCCAAUUCACCGCCGAUCUCCUUCGCCGCCGCCACGCGGUUGAUCAGAGCCUCGAUUUCGGAGGGUUGGCCGAAAGAGUAGAGCUUCCCGGCCGGAGACUGCACCAGAAAUGCAAUCUCAACGCCGCAUAGGACGGUGAGCUCGCUAGCUUUGUGGUAGAGAAAGAGGGU
Molecule: RNA transcript, 3048 nt
Organism: Salvia splendens (bonfire salvia)
Lineage: Eukaryota; Viridiplantae; Streptophyta; Magnoliopsida; Lamiales; Lamiaceae
Exons: 5
Source: RefSeq, a predicted model, not a curated record